Molecule: ribosomal RNA, 499 nt
Filed under: uncultured bacterium
Lineage: Bacteria
Description: bacterial SSU rRNA
Rfam family: Bacterial small subunit ribosomal RNA
Source: RNAcentral
AGAGUUUGAUCAUGGCUCAGGAUGAACGCUGGCGGCAUGCCUAAUACAUGCAAGUCGAACGGAAUCUUAUAUGUUCCUCGUUUCGGAUUUAGUUCCGAGUUGGGGAACAAUAAGAUUUAGUGGCGGACGGGUGAGUAACACGUUGGUACCUACCCUCUAGUGGGGAAUAACUUCGAGAAAUCGAGGCUAAUACCGCAUAAUAUCUACGGAUUAAAGCAUUUAUGCGCUAGAGGAGGGGCCUGCGUCUGAUUAGCUUGUUGGUGAGGUAAAAAGCUCACCAAGGCGACGAUCAGUAGCUGGAUCGAGAGGUUGACCAGCCACACUGGGACUGAGAUACGGCCCGGACUCCUACGGGAGGCAGCAGUAAGGAAUCUUCCACAAUGGGCGAAAGCCUGAUGGAGCAAUGCCGCGUGCAGGAUGACGGCCUUCGGGUUGUAAACUGCUUUUAUAUGGGAAGAUUAUGACGGUACCAUAUGAAUAAGGACCGGCUAACUACGUG